AGAGUGAACGCUGGCGGUAGGCCUAACACAUGCAAGUCGAACGGCAGCACAGUAGGAGCUUGCUCUUACGGGUGGCGAGUGGCGGACGGGUGAGGAAUACAUCGGAAUCUACCUUUUGGUGGGGGAUAACGUAGGGAAACUUACGCUAAUACCGCAUACGCCCUUCGGGGGAAAGCCGGGGACCAGCAAUGGCCUGGUGCUGAUAGAUGAGCCGAUGUCGGAUUAGCUAGUUGGUGAGGUAAUGGCUCACCAAGGCGACGAUCCGCAGCUGGUCUGAGAGGAUGAUCAGCCACACUGGAACUGAGACACGGUCCAGACUCCUACGGGAGCAGCAGUGGGGAAUAGUGGACAAUGGGCGCAAGCCUGAUCCAGCCAUACCGCGUGGUGAAGAAGGCCUUGGGUUAGUAAAGUCCCUUUGUAGGAAGAAAGCAGUUACGUUAAUACCGGUUGUCGUGACGGUACCAAAGAAUAAGCACCGCUAACUCGUGCCAGCAGCCGUA
This 500-nucleotide ribosomal RNA is filed under the name uncultured soil bacterium. RNAcentral describes it as "bacterial SSU rRNA". It matches the Rfam family "Bacterial small subunit ribosomal RNA", at positions 26 to 519 of the family's 1533-position model. The record is from RNAcentral.